CUACGGGCGGCAGCAGUGAGGAAUAUUGCACAAUGGGGGGAACCCUGAUGCAGCAACGCCGCGUGGAGGAUGCCGCAUUUCGGUGUGUAAACCCCUUUUAUAUGUCAAGAAAAUGACGGUAGCAUAUGAAUAAGCACCGGCUAACUCCGUGCCAGCAGCCGCGGUAAUACGGAGGGUGCAAGCGUUACUCGGAAUCACUGGGCGUAAAGGACGCGUAGGCGGGUUGGAAAGUCAGGUGUGAAAUCCUACAGCUUAACUGUAGAACUGCACUUGAAACUUCUAAUCUAGAGUAUGGGAGGGGGAGAUGGAAUUAGUGGUGUAGGGGUAAAAUCCGUAGAUAUCACUAGGAAUACCUAAAGCGAAGGCGAUCUCCUGGAACAUUACUGACGCUAAGGCGUGAAAGCGUGGGGAGCAAACAGGAUUAGAUACCCUUGUAGUC
This 439-nucleotide ribosomal RNA is filed under the name uncultured bacterium. Its description in RNAcentral is "partial 16S ribosomal RNA". It matches the Rfam family "Bacterial small subunit ribosomal RNA", at positions 339 to 795 of the family's 1533-position model. The record is from RNAcentral.